AUACGUAGGGGGCGAGCGUUGUCCGGAAUGAUUGGGCGUAAAGGGCGCGUAGGCGGCCCGGUAAGUCUGGAGUGAAAGUCCUGCUUUUAAGGUGGGAAUUGCUUUGGAUACUGUCGGGCUUGAGUGCAGGCGAGGUAAGUGGAAUUCCCAGUGUAGCGGCGAAAUGCGUAGAGAUUGGGAGGAACACCAGUGGCGAAGGCGACUUACUGGACUGUAACUGGCGCUGAGGCGCGAAAGUGUGGGGAGCAAACAGGAUUAGAUACCCUGGUAGUCCACACUGUAAACGAUGAAUGCUAGGUGUAGGGGGUAUCGACCCCUUCUGUGCCGCAGUAAACACAAUAAGCAUUCCGCCUGGGGAGUACGGCCGCAAGGUUGAAACUCAAAUGAAUCGGCGGGG
Molecule: ribosomal RNA, 397 nt
Filed under: uncultured bacterium
Lineage: Bacteria
Description: partial 16S ribosomal RNA
Rfam family: Bacterial small subunit ribosomal RNA
Source: RNAcentral